This 357-nucleotide unclassified non-coding RNA is filed under the name soil metagenome. RNAcentral describes it as "partial contains 5.8S ribosomal RNA, internal transcribed spacer 2, and large subunit ribosomal RNA". The stretch from base 1 to 120 matches the Rfam family "5.8S ribosomal RNA", at positions 35 to 154 of the family's 154-position model. The record is from RNAcentral.
GAUGAAGAACGCAGCGAAAUGCGAUAAGUAGUGUGAAUUGCAGAAUUCAGUGAAUCAUCGAAUCUUUGAACGCACAUUGCGCCCCUUGGUAUUCCAUGGGGCAUGCCUGUUCGAGCGUCAUUUCAACCCUCAGGGUCCCCGUUCCGGCGGGGAACCUGGUGUUGGGGAUCGGCCCGCCCCGUGCGGCGCCGUCCCCCAAAUUCAGUGGCGGUCUCGCUGCAGCCUCCCCUGCGUAGUAGUUACAACCUCGCAUCGGAGCUCAGCGCGGCCACGCCGUAAAACCCCCGACUUUCUGAACGUUGACCUCGGAUCAGGUAGGAAUACCCGCUGAACUUAAGCAUAUCAAUAAGCGGAGGA